CCCGCUGAACUUAAGCAUAUUAAUAAGCGGAGGAAAAGAAACUAACCAGGAUUCCCCUAGUAACGGCGAGUGAAGCGGGAACAGCUCAAAUUUGAAAUCUCUUCGGGUAACCGGAGCGAGUUGUAAUUUAGAGAGGCAUUUUCGGAGGCUAGGUGGGCACAAGUCCUUUGGAACGAGGCAUCAGAGAGGGUGAGAAUCCCGUCUUUGGUCCACUGCAGCUUCUGUAUGAUAUGCUUUCGAAGAGUCGGUUUGUUUGGGAAUGCAGACCAAAAUGGGUGGUAAAUACCAUCUAAAGCUAAAUAACGGCGAGAGACCGAUAGCGAACAAGUACCGUGAGGGAAAGAUGAAAAGAACUUUGAAAAGAGAGUUAAACAGUACGUGAAAUUGUCAAAAGGGAAACGCUUGAAACCAGUGUUGCUGGCGAGAAUUCAGCCUUUUCUUUGGAGGGGGUGCACUUUUUCGUCGGCAGGUCAACAUCGGUUUUCGCUGGAGUAAAAAAUCGCAGGAAGGUGACGUAGGCUUCGGUUUGCGUGUUAUAGCCUGCGACGAUGCUCUGGGGGAGACCGAGGAACGCAACGCAGUCUUGGGGAACUGGUCGCUGGUAGGCGUAAACGGAUCGACUGCAUGCAGACGGUUCGUUUUCACUGUUUGCCACACGGCUAGCUACCACACCUUGUGCUUGGGAUGUUGAUGAAAUGGUUUUAAACGACCCGUCUUGAAACACGG
RNAcentral lists this ribosomal RNA (726 nucleotides) under uncultured fungus. RNAcentral describes it as "eukaryotic LSU rRNA". It matches the Rfam family "Eukaryotic large subunit ribosomal RNA", at positions 24 to 664 of the family's 3401-position model. Lineage: Eukaryota; Fungi. The record is from RNAcentral.